This 1231-nucleotide ribosomal RNA is filed under the name Aspergillus heteromorphus. RNAcentral describes it as "eukaryotic LSU rRNA". It matches the Rfam family "Eukaryotic large subunit ribosomal RNA", at positions 44 to 1314 of the family's 3401-position model. Lineage: Eukaryota; Fungi; Ascomycota; Eurotiomycetes; Eurotiales; Aspergillaceae. The record is from RNAcentral.
AAAUACACAAAAAAGGAACCAACCGGGAUUGCCUCAGUAACGGCCGAGUGAAGCGGCAAGAGCUCAAAUUUGAAAGCUGGCUCCUUCGGAGUCCGCAUUGUAAUUUGCAGAGGAUGCUUUGGGUGCGGCCCCCGUCUAAGUGCCCUGGAACGGGCCGUCAGAGAGGGUGAGAAUCCCGUCUUGGGCGGGGUGUCCGUGCCCGUGUAAAGCUCCUUCGACGAGUCGAGUUGUUUGGGAAUGCAGCUCUAAAUGGGUGGUAAAUUUCAUCUAAAGCUAAAUACUGGCCGGAGACCGAUAGCGCACAAGUAGAGUGAUCGAAAGAUGAAAAGCACUUUGAAAAGAGAGUUAAACAGCACGUGAAAUUGUUGAAAGGGAAGCGCUUGCGACCAGACUCGCCCGCGGGGUUCAGCCGGCAUUCGUGCCGGUGUACUUCCCCGUGGGCGGGCCAGCGUCGGUUUGGGCGGCCGGUCAAAGGCCCCUGGAAUGUAGUACCCUCCGGGGUACCUUAUAGCCAGGGGUGCAAUGCGGCCAGCCUGGACCGAGGAACGCGCUUCGGCACGGACGCUGGCAUAAUGGUCGUAAACGACCCGUCUUGAAACACGGACCAAGGAGUCUAACAUCUACGCGAGUGUUCGGGUGUCAAACCCGUGCGCGCAGUGAAAGCGAACGGAGGUGGGAGCCCCCUCGCGGGGCGCACCAUCGACCGAUCCUGAUGUCUUCGGAUGGAUUUGAGUAAGAGCGUAAAUGUGGGGACCCGAAAGAUGGUGAACUAUGCCUGAAUAGGGCGAAGCCAGAGGAAACUCUGGUGGAGGCUCGCAGCGGUUCUGACGUGCAAAUCGAUCGUCAAAUUUGGGUAUAGGGGCGAAAGACUAAUCGAACCAUCUAGUAGCUGGUUUCCUGCCGAAGUUUCCCUCAGGAUAGCAGUAACGCAAAAUCAGUUUUAUGAGGUAAAGCGAAUGAUUAGAGGCAUGGGGUUGAAACAACCUUAACCUAUUCCUCAACUUUAAAUAAUGUAAGAAGCCCUUGUUGCUUAGUUGAACGUGGGCAUUAAGAAUGGAGCGUUACUAAGUUGGCAAUUUUGUAAGCGAACUGCGAUGCGGGAUGAUCGACGCGAAGUAAGGUGCGAAUGCACGCUCAUCGAACCAACAAGGUUAGUCAUCUAAACGCCGACGGUGGCCAUGUAUCGAUCGAUAUGAGCGUUAAACACUCACGGCCGAAGUAACAUUGCCUG